RNAcentral lists this ribosomal RNA (559 nucleotides) under uncultured Glomus. RNAcentral's name for it is "SSU rRNA". It matches the Rfam family "Eukaryotic small subunit ribosomal RNA", at positions 546 to 1106 of the family's 1831-position model. The record is from RNAcentral. Lineage: Eukaryota; Fungi; Glomeromycota; Glomeromycetes; Glomerales; Glomeraceae.
AAUUGGAGGGCAAGUCUGGUGCCAGCAGCCGCGGUAAUUCCAGCUCCAAUAGCGUAUAUUAAAGUUGUUGCAGUUAAAAAGCUCGUAGUUGAAUUUCGGGGUCAGUAGAUUGGUCGUGCCACUGGUAUGUACUGGUCUUACUGGCUCCUCCUUCCUGAUGAACCGUAAUGCCAUUAAUUUGGUGUUGCGGGGAGACUGGACUGUUACCUUGAAAAAAUUAGAGUGUUUAAAGCAGGCUAACGCUUGAAUACAUUAGCAUGGAAUAAUGAAAUAGGACGUUCGAUCUUAUUUUGUUGGUUUCUAGGAUUGACGUAAUGAUUAAUAGGGAUAGUUGGGGGCAUUAGUAUUCAAUUGUCAGAGGUGAAAUUCUUGGAUUUAUUGAAGACUAACUACUGCGAAAGCAUUUGCCAAGGAUGUUUUCAUUAAUCAAGAACGAAAGUUAGGGGAUCGAAGACGAUCAGAUACCGUCGUAGUCUUAACCAUAAACUAUGCCGACUAGGGAUCGGAUGAUGUUAAUUUUUUAAUGACUCAUUCGGCGCCUUACGGGAAACCAAAGUGU